Molecule: long non-coding RNA, 330 nt
Organism: Gymnodraco acuticeps
Lineage: Eukaryota; Metazoa; Chordata; Actinopteri; Perciformes; Bathydraconidae
Exons: 3
Source: RefSeq, a predicted model, not a curated record
AGCUAACCAGUUCCAUGGCCUUGCUCCAGUUAAGUGCCGUGAACUGGCAUUUGAAUACGCAGAGAGAAACAAUAUCCCUGUCCCUGCCAAUUGGACAGAGAAACAAUGUGCAGGAAUAGAGUGGUUUGGCAGGUUCCUAGCACGUCGCCAUCUCUCUGUCCGAACUCCGGAGGCAACAUCCCUGGGAAGGGCUACAGCCUUCAAUAAAACUACAGUGGGGGAGUUCUUCGAAAAUCUGGCUGUAGUGAUGGACAGGCACAAAUUCCCUCCACACAUGAUUUACAAUGUGGAUGAAACAGGCGUCGUUACAGUUCAAAAGCCACGGCAGGU